AUUGAACGCUGGCGGCAGGCCUAACACAUGCAAGUCGAGCGGAUGAAGGGAGCUUGCUCCUGGAUUCAGCGGCGGACGGGUGAGUAAUGCCUAGGAAUCUGCCUGGUAGUGGGGGAUAACGUCCGGAAACGGGCGCUAAUACCGCAUACGUCCUGAGGGAGAAAGUGGGGGAUCUUCGGACCUCACGCUAUCAGAUGAGCUUAGGUCGGAUUAGCUAGUUGGUGGGGUAAAGGCCUACCAAGGCGACGAUCCGUAACUGGUCUGAGAGGAUGAUCAGUCACACUGGAACUGAGACACGGUCCAGACUCCUACGGGAGGCAGCAGUGGGGAAUAUUGGACAAUGGGCGAAAGCCUGAUCCAGCCACGCCGCGUGUGUGAAGAAGGUCUUCGGAUUGUAAAGCACUUUAAGUUGGGAGGAAGGGCAGUAAGUUAAUACCUUGCUGUUUUGACGUUACCAACAGAAUAAGCACCGACUAACUUCGUG
RNAcentral lists this ribosomal RNA (484 nucleotides) under uncultured bacterium. Its description in RNAcentral is "partial 16S ribosomal RNA". It matches the Rfam family "Bacterial small subunit ribosomal RNA", at positions 30 to 507 of the family's 1533-position model. The record is from RNAcentral.